This 253-nucleotide ribosomal RNA is filed under the name uncultured bacterium. Its description in RNAcentral is "partial 16S ribosomal RNA". It matches the Rfam family "Bacterial small subunit ribosomal RNA", at positions 524 to 776 of the family's 1533-position model. The record is from RNAcentral.
GACGGAGGAUGCGAGUGUUAUCCGGAAUCACUGGGCGUAAAGCGUCUGUAGGCGGUCAAAUAAGUCAACUGUUAAAUCUUGAGGCUCAACCUCGAAAUGGCAUUCGAAACUAUUAGACUAGAGUAUAGUAGGGGUAAAGGGAAUUUCAAGUGGAGCGGUGAAAUGCGUAGAUAUUGGAAAGAACACCGGUGGCGAAGGCACUUUACUGGGCUAUUACUAACACUCAGAGAAGAAAGCUAGGGUAGCAAAUGGG